GACGAACGCUGGCGGCGUGCUUAACACAUGCAAGUCGAACGGAAAGGCCCUGCUUUUGUGGGGUGCUCGAGUGGCGAACGGGUGAGUAACACGUGAGUAACCUGCCCUUGACUUUGGGAUAACUUCAGGAAACUGGGGCUAAUACCGGAUAUGAGCUCCUGCUGCAUGGUGUUGGUUGGAAAGUUUCGGCGGUUGGGGAUGGACUCGCGGCUUAUCAGCUUGUUGGUGGGGUAGUGGCUUACCAAGGCUUUGACGGGUAGCCGGCCUGAGAGGGUGACCGGCCACAUUGGGACUGAGAGACGGACCAGACUCCUACGGGAGGCAGCAGUGGGGAAUAUUGCACAAUGGGCGGAAGCCUGAUGCAGCAACGCCGCGUGCGGGAUGACGGCCUUCGGGUUGUAAACCGAUUUCGCCUGUGACGAAGCGUGAGUGACGGUAAUGGGUAAAGAAGCACCGGCUAACUACGUG
RNAcentral lists this ribosomal RNA (468 nucleotides) under uncultured bacterium. RNAcentral describes it as "partial 16S ribosomal RNA". It matches the Rfam family "Bacterial small subunit ribosomal RNA", at positions 28 to 507 of the family's 1533-position model. The record is from RNAcentral.